Molecule: ribosomal RNA, 1427 nt
Filed under: Poinsettia stem flat phytoplasma
Lineage: Bacteria; Bacillati; Mycoplasmatota; Mollicutes; Acholeplasmatales; Acholeplasmataceae
Description: bacterial SSU rRNA
Rfam family: Bacterial small subunit ribosomal RNA
Source: RNAcentral
CAUGCAAGUCGAACGGAAACCUUCGGGUUUUAGUGGCGAACGGGUGAGUAACACGUAAGCAACCUGCCCUUAAGACGAGGAUAACAAUUGGAAACAAUUGCUAAGACUGGAUAGGAAAAGUAAAGGCAUCUUUGCUUUUUUAAAAGAUCUUCUUUGAAGGUAUGCUUAAGGAGGGGCUUGCGACACAUUAGUUAGUUGGCAGGGUAAAGGCCUACCAAGACUAUGAUGUGUAGCUGGACUGAGAGGUUGAACAGCCACAUUGGGACUGAGACACGGCCCAAACUCCUACGGGAGGCAGCAGUAGGGAAUUUUCGGCAAUGGAGGAAACUCUGACCGAGCAACGCCGCGUGAACGAUGAAGUACCUCGGUAUGUAAAGUUCUUUUAUUAAGGAAGAAAAAAGAGUGGAAAAACUCCCUUGACGGUACUUAAUGAAUAAGCCCCGGCUAAUUAUGUGCCAGCAGCCGCGGUAAUACAUAAGGGGCGAGCGUUAUCCGGAAUUAUUGGGCGUAAAGGGUGCGUAGGCGGUUUAAUAAGUCUAUAGUUUAAUUUCAGUGCUUAACGCUGUUGUGCUAUAGAAACUGUUCUACUAGAGUGAGAUAGAGGCAAGCGGAAUUCCAUGUGUAGCGGUAAAAUGCGUAAAUAUAUGGAGGAACACCAGAGGCGUAGGCGGCUUGCUGGGUCUUUACUGACGCUGAGGCACGAAAGCGUGGGGAGCAAACAGGAUUAGAUACCCUGGUAGUCCACGCCGUAAACGAUGAGUACUAAGUGUCGGGUAAAACUGGUACUGAAGUUAACACAUUAAGUACUCCGCCUGAGUAGUACGUACGCAAGUAUGAAACUUAAAGGAAUUGACGGGACUCCGCACAAGCGGUGGAUCAUGUUGUUUAAUUCGAAGAUACACGAAAAACCUUACCAGGUCUUGACAUUUUCUUGCGAAAUUAUAGAAAUAUAAUGGAGGUUAUCAGGAAAACAGGUGGUGCAUGGUUGUCGUCAGCUCGUGUCGUGAGAUGUUAGGUUAAGUCCUAAAACGAGCGCAACCCUUGUCGUUAAUUGCCAGCAUGUAAUGAUGGGGACUUUAACGAGACUGCCAAUGAAAAAUUGGAGGAAGGUGGGGAUUACGUCAAAUCAUCAUGCCCCUUAUGAUCUGGGCUACAAACGUGAUACAAUGGUUGAUACAAAGAGUAGCUGAAACGCGAGUUCUUAGCCAAUCUCAAAAAAUCAAUCUCAGUUCGGAUUGAAGUCUGCAACUCGACUUCAUGAAGUUGGAAUCGCUAGUAAUCGCGAAUCAGCAUGUCGCGGUGAAUACGUUCUCGGGGUUUGUACACACCGCCCGUCAAACCACAAAAGUUGGCAAUGCCCCAAAGCGGUCACCUAACUUCGCAAGAAGAAGGAUCCGUCUAAGGUAGGGUCGAUGAUUGGGGUUAAG